Conger conger (European conger) is the source of this 5384-nucleotide RNA transcript. It is a transcript of the gene named cAMP-specific 3',5'-cyclic phosphodiesterase 4C-like, with no coding region annotated. The transcript is spliced from 18 exons. The record is from RefSeq and is a predicted model, not a curated record. NCBI's taxonomy places the organism in Eukaryota, Metazoa, Chordata, Actinopteri, Anguilliformes, Congridae.
CAGUGACGCUGUGCGGCGCGUUCCACAUUGCAACACUUUUCGCUAUAUCGUUUACGCCUGUCGCUGGCAUGCGCACAGACGGCGUCAUUCCCUGCGAAAGAAGUGAUCAGAGACUAAACAUCGUACGGUUUUAUUGAUGCGCUAUGCAUGUGCAGUAUAAAAGUGCGACACCGUGACGAGCAACAGCACGGAGUGAAGUUCGUUCCAUACAUUAAGCGAUUUGCGCCAGUGUGACACUCUUCCAAUGUUGAAGCGAGCACGUCGAACGAGGCAGCAACUUCUAGGCAGAAACUUUUUCGGAAGAAGACGCGACACUGAGUGUCCUCCUGGAGCGCGUUUGAGACGAGGAGCGUUUGAGAAGAGGAGCUGGAGCGUUUGAGACAAGGAUGCAGAAGAACAGGACUUCUCGAUCAAGCUCUUUCCUGUCAACAGAGAGGCGCCGGUUCUCCCUGGAGCAUCCGGAGGCGGAGCUUGUUGGCGUGGCGACCCCCAGCUGCGCGGUGCGGCGGCGGUUCUCUGGGCCCCUCCUGCUCCCGCCGCUCUCCCGGCGCCACUCCACCCAGGACGCCCGGCGGCACCCCGACCCCGACCCGCCGCGGAGCCCCGCCCCCCUCGCCAGGGGAGGGACCCGGAGCCUGGAGGCCGUCGGAGACCCCGCCCACAACAAGGCUCAUUUUGAUGUGGAGAAUGGUUUGUCUCCAGGGCCAAGCCCCCUGGACCCCCAGGCCAGUGUGGGGUCCAGGUUGGUCCUCCAGGCGUGUGCCCCCAGUAGCCAGCGCCGGGAAUCCUUCCUGUACCGCUCCGACUCCGACUUCGACCUCUCCCCCAAGGCCACGUCCCGAAACUCCUCCGUCACAAGUGACCUACAUGGGGAGGACAUGAUUGUGACUCCGUUCGCACAGGUGCUGGCCAGCCUGCGCACGGUGAGGACCAACUUCUCCGCCCUGACGCACCUGCAGGAGCGCAGCGCACACAGGAGGUCAUCCAGUGGCAGCACCCCCCCCAUGUGCCAGCAGAGCCUGCCUGAAGAGCCCCUGCAGAAGCUGGCCCUGGAGACGAUGGAGGAGCUAGACUGGUGUCUGGACCAGCUGGAGACCCUGCAGACACGCCACUCCGUCGGCGAGAUGGCCUCCAACAAGUUUAAAAGGAUGCUGAACCGUGAGCUCACACAGCUGUCUGAGGCCAGUCGCUCCGGCAACCAGGUGUCAGAGUUCAUCUCCAGCACCUUCUUAGAUAAGCAGCAGGACAUGGAGAUCCUGUCCCCGCCGCCGAAGGAGAAGUGGCCGAUGUCUCAGAUCAGCGGUGUGCACAAACACAGCCCCGCCCCCGGCCCCGCCCCCGGCCCCGCCCCCGCUCCCACACCCCGAUUCGGGGUCUGCACGGAGCAGGAGGACCUGCUGGCCAAGGAGUUGGAAGACGUCAGCCGCUGGGGCGUUGACAUUUUCAAGAUCGGCGAGUAUUCUGGGAACCGACCACUAACGGCAGCACUGUACACCAUUUUCCAGGACAGGGACCUGCUCAAGUCCUUCAGCAUCCCCGCCAACACCUUCAUCGCCUUCGCCAUGACGCUGGAGGACCAUUACCAUGGCGAUGUGGCGUACCACAACCGCAUCCAUGCUGCCGACGUGGUCCAGUCCACCCAUGUCCUGCUGUCCACCCCCGCUCUAGAGGCUGUGUUCACGGAUCUGGAGAUCCUGGCGGCCCUGUUUGCCUGUGCCAUCCACGAUGUGGACCACCCUGGAGUCUCCAACCAGUUCCUCAUCAACACCAACUCAGAGCUGGCGCUCAUGUACAACGACUCCUCCGUCCUGGAGAACCACCACCUGGCCGUGGGCUUCAAGCUGCUGCAGGAGGAGAACUGCGACAUCUUCCAGAACCUCAGCAAGAAGCAGUGGCAGUCCCUGCGCAAGAUGGUGAUUGACAUGGUCUUGGCCACAGACAUGUCCAAACAUAUGAACCUGCUGGCUGACCUCAAGACCAUGGUGGAGACCAAGAAAGUGACCAGCCUGGGGGUGCUACUGCUGGACAACUACUCCGACCGCAUACAGGUCCUGCAGAACAUGGUGCACUGCGCUGACCUCAGUAACCCCACCAAGCCGCUGCAGCUGUACCGGCAGUGGACCGGCCGCAUCAUGGAGGAGCUGUUCAGCCAGGGAGACCGCGAGCGUGAGCGCGGCAUGGACAUCAGCCCCAUGUGCGACAAACACAGCGCGUCUGUGGAGAAGAGCCAGGUGGGGUUUAUAGACUACAUUGUGCACCCGCUGUGGGAGACGUGGGCGGACCUGGUGCACCCCGACGCCCAGGACAUCCUGGACACGCUGGAGGACAACCGGGAGUGGUACCAGAGCAUGAUCCCCCACAGUCCAAUCAGCAUGGCCGAGGGGCGGGGCCAUGAGGCCGGGGGCGGGGAGAAGUUCUCGUUCCACCUCACCCUGGAGGAAGAGGAGGGUGAGGAGGCGGAGUCAGAGGGUGAGAUCCCGCCCCCCGGUGAGGGAGAGGGGCGUGUCUCCUCCGGGUGGGCGGGGUCAUCCCGCGUCCAUCAUGCCCUGGUCUUUAGCCCCGCCCACAGGGUUUUGGCUCUGACCUCAGAGGUGGGCAUGGAAGAUACUCCUGACACUGAGGAUGAGGAGGGGGAGGCAGAUGAGGAAGAGGAGAUGGACGCUACACCCCAGCAGCAGAACACGUAGCAGCAGCCCCAGACCUGUGUGAGUGAGUGUGAGUGAGUGUGAGUGAGUGUGUAUGUGUGUGUGUAUGUGAGUGUGUGUGAGUCUGAGUGUGUGUGUGUGUGUAUGUGAGUGAGUGUGUUUGAGAGUGUGUGAGUCUGAGUGUGUGUGUGUGAGUGUGUGAGAUUGUGUUUGAGUGUGUGUGUGUUUGAGUGUGUGUGAGUCUGAGUGUGUGUGUGAGUGUGUGAGAUUGUGUUUGAGUGUGUGUGUGUUUGAGUGUGUGUGAGUCUGAGUGUGUGUGUGAGUGUGUGAGAUUGUGUUUGAGUGUGUGUGUGUUUGAGUUUGUGUGAGUCUGAGUGUGUGUGUCAGUGUGAGAGUGUGUUCAUUUGUUUGUUCACCUCAGCGCCUGGAGGCUCGUAGUCAACUUCUUACCCCUGCUUUCAUGUGUUUGGACAUGGGCUGGUUUUCAACGUUUUAACCAUUUUUAAAACUACUUGUGUUUCCAUGGAGAUGCUGCCGCAGGUCUCUACAGAGCGAGAACUUCCCCAGAACUCACACACACACACACACACUCACACACACUCUCACACACUCUCACACAUACACAAACAAACACACACACACACACACACAACGUCUUCCUGUGAGCUGCUGCUCCAAGCGGGAGAGAGGAAACAUUUCACCGUGAUGAUGAUCAGUAUGAUCUAACAGGCUCCUUCCACUCUAAAGACAUGGACUUCUGCGGACGGACACGAGUCUACCUUUUCAUUGCAGUUUUCUGUUCUUAAUCACUGGAAUCACUGGAGAUCACUGUCAAAAAAUCUUGUAGAAAACGGUCUGUGAACUAACGCCUUUGUUGUACCAAAUAUGUACAUGUAUGAGGACAAAAACAAAUCGAAAUGUGACUAUAACCUCAGGGUGUUAAGAACGUGUUUUAAUGUAGCAAGAUUGGGUUAUUGGGUCGCCCUGUCAUUACUACUGAAUAUGGAUCGUCUGUGUGUGUGCAUUUGGCUCCCCCAAGUGGCGUACAGUUGAACUCGGUCCAACAACAUAAUAACGUUUCCAAACAAGGAGUAAACGUUGGUAAUGGAUUCAAAUAGUGACCUGUACGCUGGAUUAUUACAACGUUAUAUAUGAUAUUAUAUAUUAUAUAUAACAUUACGUAUUGUAAUAUUAAUAAUUUCUAUCCAUAUUUUAUGCUUGGUUUACUGUUGGAGUACCGGGGUACCCAGUGCAGAGAAAACACUUCCUUGUUUUUACUUUUUAUGACUUUCUAUAUGUGUAUAUAUAUAUAUAUAUAUAUAUAUAUAUAUACGUGACCCUGUCUUGCAUCUAAUGUUUAUGGUUUUAUGGCUUAUAGUUGAUUCAGUUUUUAAUGAUGUUUUUUAUUAUUUGAUUUUGUUGUAAAAGUGUUCGUGUGGCUCAAUCUGUCAGCCUGUGGCAAAAUAGGGGUGCCGCCCCUUCAUGAGCACUUUAUGCCUUUAAGUAGCCCCGUCCCCUAGCCUGCUUCCAAGGGCUGCUUUGAGUCAGUUGAGCUGGCCAUUGGACUACAUUUCCCAGAGGCUAUAGUGCUGGGGUCACAUGGGAGGAAUUGCACUAAGUCUUACCAGGAGGAAGGGGAUGGGGUUCACGAGGUUAAAAAAACAAAAGCUGUUGACCCUCCGCUAGAAACCCCUCCCCUCCUGACCGUAGCGCCGCCCUCUCUGAGCCUUCCGCCAAGUUCAGCUGCUUCAGCGCUGACAAGAAAAGCACACAGACUUCCAAACCGCAGAAGAGCAGAAAACAAACACAACUGUAGCAUUUAUGAAUACAAAAUCGUCUUUUUAAAAUGUAUUUGUUCAGUCUGAAGAGAGUCUUUUCAAGCGUAGGCAAAUGUGACUCGUCAGCCUUGUGUAUCUCAGCCUGUGUGUGUGUGUGUGUGUGUGUGUGUGUGUGUGUGUGUGUGUGCGAGUCCAGGUGUGUAACACACAGUGCUGUGAUACAGGUGUGUAACACUCAGUGUUGUGAUACAGGUGUGUAACACUCAGUGUUGUGAUACAGGUGUGUAACACUCAGUGUUGUGAUACAGGUGUGUAACACUCAGUGUUGUGAUACAGGUGUGUUACACUCAGUGUUGUGAUACAGGUGUGUAACACACAGUGUUGUGAUACAGGUGUGUAACACAGAGACUGCUGUGAUACAGGUGUGUAACACACAGUGUCGUGAUACAGGUGUGUAACACACAGUGUUGUGAUACAGGUGUGUAACACAGUGCUGUGAUACAGGUGUGUAACACACAGUGUUGUGAUACAGGUGUGUAACACUCAGUGUUGUGAUACAGGUGUGUAACACACAGUGUUGUGAUACAGGUGUGUAACACAGUGCUGUGAUACAGGUGUGUAACACAGUGCUGUGAUACAGGUGUGUUACACUCAGUGUUGUGAUACAGGUGUGUAACACACAGUGUUGUGAUACAGGUGUGUAACACAGAGACUGCUGUGAUACAGGUGUGUAACACACAGUGUUGUGAUACAGGUGUGUAACACAGAGACUGCUGUGAUACAGGUGUGUAACACACAGUGUUGUGAUACAGGUGUGUAACACACAGUGUUGUGAUACAGGUGUGUUACACUCAGUGUUGUGAUACAGGUGUGUAACACAGUGUUGUGAUACAGGUGUGUAACACACAGUGCUGUGAUACAGGUGUGUUACACACAGUGUUGUGAUACAGGUGUGUAACAC